Acanthosepion pharaonis is the source of this 109-nucleotide non-coding RNA. The record is from the annotation of a GenBank genome assembly. Lineage: Eukaryota; Metazoa; Mollusca; Cephalopoda; Sepiida; Sepiidae.
UACGGGCAUAUCACGUUGAAACACCGGUUCUCCUACGAUCACCAAAGUUAAGCAACGUCGAGCCUUAUCAAUAAUUAGAUGGGUGACUGCUGGGAGUAGCACAUGCUAU